AAAGUACUCCCUCCAUCCCAAAAUUCUUGUCUUAGAUUUGUCUAGAUACGGAUAUAUCAAGUCAUACAUCUGUAUGUAGACAAAUCUAAGACAAGAAAUUUGGGACAGAGGGAGUAGUUG
Molecule: non-coding RNA, 120 nt
Organism: Triticum aestivum (bread wheat)
Lineage: Eukaryota; Viridiplantae; Streptophyta; Magnoliopsida; Poales; Poaceae
Source: Rfam